GGGGUCAGUAGGUUGGUCGUGCCACCGGUACGUACUGGUCUCACUGAUUCCUCCUUCCUGAAGAACCGUAAUGCCAUUAAUUUGGUGUUGCGGGGAAACAGGACUGUUACUCUGAAAAAAUUAGAGUGUUUAAAGCAAGCUAACGCUUGAAUACAUUAGCAUGGAAUAAUGAAAUAGGACGAUCGAUCCUAUUUUGUUGGUUUCUAGGAUUGACGUA
This 217-nucleotide ribosomal RNA is filed under the name Glomeromycotina sp. Its description in RNAcentral is "partial small subunit ribosomal RNA". The stretch from base 41 to 217 matches the Rfam family "Eukaryotic small subunit ribosomal RNA", at positions 686 to 864 of the family's 1831-position model. The record is from RNAcentral. Lineage: Eukaryota; Fungi; Glomeromycota.